Molecule: transfer RNA, 70 nt
Filed under: Marmota monax (woodchuck)
Lineage: Eukaryota; Metazoa; Chordata; Mammalia; Rodentia; Sciuridae
Description: tRNA.Ala
Source: RNAcentral
GGGCUGGGGCUCAGUGGUAGAGCGCUCGCCUAGCAUGUACGAAAUGCUGGGUUUGAUCCUCAGCACCACA